CAACUGAAGUACUGCAUCCAUUUCUGGGUGCCGCAUUUCAGGAAGCAUGUGGAGAAGCUUCAGAGCGUCCAAUGGAGGGCGAUGCACAUGAUUAGAGCCCUAGAGACCAGCUUAUAUGAGGAAAGGCUAAAAGAC
Long non-coding RNA from Gavialis gangeticus (Gharial), 135 nucleotides. RefSeq lists it as uncharacterized. The record is from RefSeq and is a predicted model, not a curated record. The transcript has 3 exons. Lineage: Eukaryota; Metazoa; Chordata; Crocodylia; Gavialidae.